GUGAGUGGCGGACGGGUGAGUAACACGUGGGUAACCUGCCCUAAAGUGGGGGAUAACAUUUGGAAACAGAUGCUAAUACCGCAUAAAACCUAGCACCGCAUGGUGCAAGGUUGAAAGAUGGUUUCGGCUAUCACUUUAGGAUGGACCCGCGGUGCAUUAGUUAGUUGGUGAGGUAAAGGCUCACCAAGACCGUGAUGCAUAGCCGACCUGAGAGGGUAAUCGGCCACACUGGGACUGAGACACGGCCCAGACUCCUACGGGAGGCAGCAGUAGGGAAUCUUCCACAAUGGACGAAAGUCUGAUGGAGCAACGCCGCGUGAGUGAAGAAGGUUUUCGGAUCGUAAAACUCUGUUGUUGGAGAAGAACGUAUUUGAUAGUAACUGAUCAGGUAGUGACGGUAUCCAACCAG
Molecule: ribosomal RNA, 409 nt
Filed under: Latilactobacillus curvatus
Lineage: Bacteria; Bacillati; Bacillota; Bacilli; Lactobacillales; Lactobacillaceae
Description: bacterial SSU rRNA
Rfam family: Bacterial small subunit ribosomal RNA
Source: RNAcentral